This 396-nucleotide ribosomal RNA is filed under the name uncultured bacterium. Its description in RNAcentral is "bacterial SSU rRNA". It matches the Rfam family "Bacterial small subunit ribosomal RNA", at positions 28 to 416 of the family's 1533-position model. The record is from RNAcentral.
GACGAACGCUGGCGGCGUGCUUAACACAUGCAAGUCGAGCGGGAUCCAACCGGUGGCAACACCGGGGAAGAUCUAGCGGCGAACGGGUGAGUAACACGUGAGCAACCUGCCCCGAAGACUGGGAUAACACCGGGAAACCGGUGCUAAUACCGGAUGUCGUCAUUAGGCCGCAUGACCUGAUGAUGAAAGGAUUCAUCGCUUCGGGAGGGGCUCGCGGGCUAUCAGCUUGNGGUGGGGUAACGGCCUACCAAGGCGACGACGGCUAGCUGGUCUGAGAGGACGACCAGCCACACUGGGACUGAGACACGGCCCAGACUCCUACGGGAGGCAGCAGUGGGGAAUCUUGCGCAAUGGGCGAAAGCCUGACGCAGCAACGCCGCGUGGGGGAUGAAUGCC